Molecule: ribosomal RNA, 253 nt
Filed under: uncultured bacterium
Lineage: Bacteria
Description: partial 16S ribosomal RNA
Rfam family: Bacterial small subunit ribosomal RNA
Source: RNAcentral
UACGGAGGGUGCAAGCGUUGUCCGGAUUUAUUGGGUUUAAAGGGUGCGUAGGCGGAUAUUUAAGUCAGUGGUGAAAUGUUGCGGCUCAACCGUAAGAUUGCCAUUGAUACUGGAUAUCUUGAGUAUGUUUGAGGUGGUUGGAAUGCGUAGUGUAGCGGUGAAAUGCAUAGAUAUUACGCAGAACACCGAUUGCGAAGGCAGAUCGCUAAGACAUAACUGACGCUGAUGCACGAAAGCGUGGGUAGCGAACAGG